This 279-nucleotide ribosomal RNA is filed under the name uncultured bacterium. RNAcentral describes it as "partial 16S ribosomal RNA". It matches the Rfam family "Bacterial small subunit ribosomal RNA", at positions 506 to 784 of the family's 1533-position model. The record is from RNAcentral.
UGCCAGCCGCCGCGGUAAUACGAAGGGUGCUAGCGUUGUUCGGAAUUACUGGGCGUAAAGAGCAUGUAGGCGGAUGAAUUAGUCAGAUGUGAAAUCCCACGGCUCAACCGUGGAAUUGCGUUUGAAACCACAGGACUUGAGUAAGAUAGAGGUAAGCGGAACUGAUGGUGGAGCGGUGAAAUGCGUUGAUAUCAUCAGGAACACCGGUGGCGAAAGCGGCUUACUGGGUCUUUACUGACGCUGAGGCACGAAAGCUAGGGGAGCAAACAGGAUUAGAUA